Molecule: small RNA, 306 nt
Filed under: Pongo abelii (Sumatran orangutan)
Lineage: Eukaryota; Metazoa; Chordata; Mammalia; Primates; Hominidae
Description: retained intron
Source: RNAcentral
CCUAGGACUAAGUAGAGCCUUCACCCCACAGCGGGAGGGCACCCUGAUGGGCACAGCCAUUGGCACCUGCUUCGGCUACUGGCUGGGAGUCUCAUCCUUCAUUUACUUCCUUGCCUACCUGUGCAACGCCCAGAUCACCAUGCUGCAGAUGUUGGCACUGCUGGGCUAUGGCCUCUUUGGGCACUGCAUUGUCCUGUUCAUCACCUAUAAUAUCCACCUCCACGCCCUCUUCUACCUCUUCUGGCUGUUGGUGGGUGGACUGUCCACACUGCGCAUGGUAGCAGUGUUGGUGUCUCGGACCGUGGG